GGGCGCAUGUUCCAAGGUGGCGACCGACCCUUGCAAGGUUGGUGGGCGAGUUCGAUUCUCGUCGCUUCCA
RNAcentral lists this transfer RNA (70 nucleotides) under Mycobacterium phage GenevaB15. Its description in RNAcentral is "tRNA-Ala". The record is from RNAcentral. Lineage: Duplodnaviria; Heunggongvirae; Uroviricota; Caudoviricetes; Vilmaviridae.